UGGGGAAUAUUGGACAAUGGGCGAAAGCCUGAUCCAGCCAUGCCGCGUGAGUGAAGAAGGCCUUCGGGUUGUAAAGCUCUUUUGUUGGGAAAGAAAAGCAAUCGGUUAAUACCCGGUUGUCCUGACGGUACCCAAAGAAUAAGCACCGGCUAACUUCGUGCCAGCAGCCGCGGUAAUACGAAGGGUGCAAGCGUUACUCGGAAUUACUGGGCGUAAAGCGUGCGUAGGUGGUUCGUUAAGUCUGAUGUGAAAGCCCUGGGCUCAACCUGGGAAUUGCAUUGGAUACUGGCGGGCUGGAGUACGGUAGAGGGUGGCGGAAUUCCUGGUGUAGCAGUGAAAUGCGUAGAUAUCAGGAGGAACAUCCGUGGCGAAGGCGGCCACCUGGACCAGUACUGACACUGAGGCACGAAAGCGUGGGGAGCAAACAG
RNAcentral lists this ribosomal RNA (428 nucleotides) under uncultured organism. RNAcentral describes it as "bacterial SSU rRNA". It matches the Rfam family "Bacterial small subunit ribosomal RNA", at positions 355 to 775 of the family's 1533-position model. The record is from RNAcentral.